RNAcentral lists this ribosomal RNA (453 nucleotides) under uncultured Paraprevotella sp. RNAcentral's name for it is "bacterial SSU rRNA". It matches the Rfam family "Bacterial small subunit ribosomal RNA", at positions 341 to 792 of the family's 1533-position model. The record is from RNAcentral. Lineage: Bacteria; Pseudomonadati; Bacteroidota; Bacteroidia; Bacteroidales; Prevotellaceae.
ACGGAAGGCAGCAGUGAGGAAUAUUGGUCAAUGGGCGCAAGCCUGAACCAGCCAAGUAGCGUGAGGGAUGACUGCCCUACGGGUUGUAAACCUCUUUUGUUUGGGAAUAAAGGAGCCUACGCGUAGGCUUUUGCAUGUACCUUUCGAAUAAGCAUCGGCUAAUUCCGUGCCAGCAGCCGCGGUAAUACGGAAGAUGCGAGCGUUAUCCGGAUUUAUUGGGUUUAAAGGGAGCGUAGGCGGCCGGUUAAGUCUGCGGUCAAAUGUCAGGGCCCAACCUUGGCAUGCCGUGGAUACUGUCCGGCUUGAGUGCACACAAGGAAGGUGGAAUUCGUCGUGUAGCGGUGAAAUGCUUAGAUAUGACGAAGAACUCCGAUUGCGAAGGCAGCUGUCCGGGGUGUAACUGACGCUAAUGCUCGAAAGUGCGGGUAUCAAACAGGAUUAGAUACCCUGGUA